UAUUAUUUUUUCAAUGCUUUUGGGAAAUGACAAGGAUCACUUCUUCAUUAUAGACUUGCUGUGUUCCAACUCCCAUUGAAGAUUGAAAAAGCCCUUUUCCCCACAACAACCCAGUGAGGGAAGGAGUGCAGCGGCCCAUCAUCCCUUUUUUAUAGAAGAGGAACUGAGGCUCAGACAGCCACACCUGGCCCUCAACUCCCAUUUCUCCUUCUGGUUCUGAGCCCUGAGUUAUCCCUGUCAUGCAUGGAUGCAGACAUAGGUAAUUCACCUUAUCAGCCCUUAGGAAGCCCUCUUCUAUGAAGUCCUGAGCUGGAGUUGGACUUUCCCUGGGGCCUAGUGGGAAAUUUGAGAUCUCUCCCCACCCCCCCAA
This 370-nucleotide long non-coding RNA is filed under the name Monodelphis domestica (gray short-tailed opossum). RNAcentral describes it as "lncRNA (ENSMODG00000037902.1)". Lineage: Eukaryota; Metazoa; Chordata; Mammalia; Didelphimorphia; Didelphidae. The record is from RNAcentral.